AGAAAAGCAUCAUAAUAGCAUAUUUGUAAGAUAAUUAUUGUCGUAUAGUCAGAGCUAUAUAUACGUUUCAUAACUUUAUUUUAUAAAACCUGGAUGCCACAUUAAGAAAACCAGUCUGUGCAAUCUGGGCUUUGCUUUCAUUGUCGAACUAAAACGGAAUUAAAAACAAAAAACCUCAAGUUACUCAAAUAAGAAAGACAUUUUGCAAUAAUACCACACAAUGGAUAUACAGUUGAACAAACUUGUUUGUUCAUGGGUCAUGUUACAUUUCUUGCCAGCUGUCUGCAGCGUUUCAUUAACUAAAUUUGUCUUGUUCUAAGUCGGGCCUUUGGGCAACCCCACUGCUGCUGCUGCCAGUCAGCCAUGUUUUGAUUAUUGUGUUACAACCUGAGCAGCAGCUGUUGUCUCUAUAAGCCUGGUGUUGUUCAGCAGAACUGAAACUCUACCCUCCUAAUGCUCACAGAGACAAUCAUAAAAACUGACCUUCACCAUGUCCUGACAUGCAAAUAUAUUCUGUACAGAAAGACUCUAGCAGAGAUAAAUAACAAUGCAUCUCAAGGCUUGUUCAAUAUGUGCUGAUUAAGGGUGUUUUCACUCCUGAUAGCUCAGGAGACUGGGUUAGAUUGGGGACUGAAAUUGCAACAUUUGUCGCAUUUUGAGCUGACAAGCUUGACAUGUCACCAUAAUCCAAAGCUCUGUAGUUUUAAAGGGGCGGUAUCAUGUAAUUUUUUUUUUUUUUAAGCCCUAUGUCAAGGUAGUCUGGUUUGUUUAGGGACGUGUGAAUGUGCAAUCGAACUCUAAAGAGAACCAAAAAACUAACUUUAGUCUGCCUAAAAGCUUAUGCAUCGGUUUGGUUGAAGUGAACUCUGGUGGGUUUGAAUGCAUAGGAAUACAAGCGGACCAGAGACUGCUCCAAAAGCAGGAAGUGGACUAUAGGGACAUGGCAUUCUGGGUAAAUACAACCAAAACAAACGCAAGAAUUUAGUGCUAGCAGGGAAAAUAGCUCAUGGUCUUUAACUAAAAAUAAAAGAUAAAUCCCACAACCAUUGAAAUCUGACACGACUCCAAUUUUAUUUGCAUUUCGUGAAGACAGAAAUUGCGCUCAGUGUCUUCUUCAAACGUUUUCAUCUCAUUUCCUUCAGUAGUUGUUGGUGCAGCGCCACCACUGGAGCGGAGCUGGACAGGUUUUUCAAUUAGUUUGGAUCGUUUAAGAUACGGUGGUAGCAGCUGUUAAUCACAACCACUGGCAGCUAAUCAUAACGACCGUCAGCCCUCGGUGUAAACGCGGAUUUACAGCGAACACUUUGUACAAGGGAUGGACCUAACGAAGGUGGGCAGCAUCUUCACCGUCGCUGUGGGAUUCGUGUCACGGCCGAGUCCGUACUCCAUGUCUCUACGGAAACGGCCCAUGAUGUCCUUCAGCGUCUCGUCAGAGAAACGCAUGGAGUAAAGACCUGAUGAGUAACAAUGGAGAACACAAUGGGUAUUCCUUCUCCCUGUAAGCUUGACUUCAGUCUGCGUCGGUUUUGUGAAAAGGAGAAAAGAAUCAACAGGAUGUAAGCGUAGGAGGAGGGCGCUGAGUCCACUCACUCUCCAGAGACAGAAUCCCCCCCGCGGUGUCAUGGCUGCUUCAGGGUGACCUUCUCUGACGGUGACCUCAUUACGAGUGCUUACUCAGUAACUGCUGGCUUUAAAUCCCACAAUGCUGCCCUCAUCUCAUGACUUUAAGCACCAUAAACACGUUUUAACCACAAACACGUUUGAAGGAGAACUCGUUUGGAAAGUUUUCCAAAUAUUUGAGCCUGCACUGCAAAAACAAAAUCUUACCAAGUAUUUUUGUUCUA
Molecule: long non-coding RNA, 1844 nt
Organism: Gambusia affinis (western mosquitofish)
Lineage: Eukaryota; Metazoa; Chordata; Actinopteri; Cyprinodontiformes; Poeciliidae
Exons: 4
Source: RefSeq, a predicted model, not a curated record